This is a long non-coding RNA of Passer domesticus (house sparrow), 2758 nucleotides long. RefSeq lists it as uncharacterized. The transcript has 2 exons. NCBI's taxonomy places the organism in Eukaryota, Metazoa, Chordata, Aves, Passeriformes, Passeridae. The record is from RefSeq and is a predicted model, not a curated record.
GCUGGUGCCACCACCAGCCUCUUUGACACAGGGAGGCAGACGGAUUCUGACACAGCCACCCGGCGCUGAUGGCCAAGAGCCCGCUACAACACCCCGCUGCACCACUGCAAAUGUACAGAUCUCGGCGCUGACCAGCGGCAGAAACACACAAAUUCAGCCCGUCCAGCCUUGUUUCCCAUCCGCGAGCAGUCCCCAGGUUGGGAAAAGCUGGGAAUCCCACCAGAUGGAAAUCUUGACUGUCUGUCAUCUGCUGUGAAGAGCUGGCAGGGUGGCAGGAAGGUUCAGCUGGAGCUGGCUUGGCCAUCUGCACUAGAUUCAGUUUGCCAGAAAAGCACAUCUAACAGUCCACUGAGAGCUGUGUUCAGGCAAACAUGCACACCAACAAGUACAGAAACUAUCUGUGACUCCAGCAGAGAUGGAUAGAUUUUGGAUGUGGCAAAUAGUCUCUGCUGCCCUGUGCCUGUCUGCCCAUCUACAGAGUUUUGUUCUUUUUCUAUAAUGCUCCACUCACACAUGUGUUUUGGCAGCAUAUAAAUCUAGUUCAGUGUCUUUAAAUUCACAACUUCUUUUCCUUGGGUUUUGUAAGGUGUGUCAGAAAAAACAUGUAUGAAUCUAAUCCUCUGCUUUUCUGUCAAAGAGGAACAAAGUAUGUUGAAUGCAGUGCAAAUAGGAGAUUUUGUUGCUAUCAGAUUUUUAUUGCUGUUCUCACUGAGCGUGAUUUAUACAGGAAUUUAAUUAGCCCACAGGAUCAUAAAUAUAAUCAUAAUGAUGCUUUCAGGUUUUGUGGAAAGCACUUUUGCCCUUUAGCACUUCUCUGCCUUGUUCUAGCUGUGACAUGCUGCAUUUAAUAAAGUCUUGCUGAUUCAGAUAACCGACCCUUCAGCACAAACCUCCUUACUAAUUAAGAGCUGAAGAGGCAAGGAGUGAAGGCAGCCAAGGGCUGCCAAGGUAAAUACAUUUCGGUUGAUGAGCAGUGAAGAACCAGUGAAUUAAUAUUUGGGGUUUCCUUACUGAAAUCCAAUAUUAGGACUGUCAGCAGGCUUAGUUAUUGCCUUCUGAUCUGUUCUUAACUUUUGGUAUUACUCAGAAAAUGCGCAUCAGACUUGACAUAAACUUUAGAUGUAACAAAUCUGGAUCAAUUUUUCAAAAUCAGCAGUGUCUGAGUUGUGAGGUGCCCUUUUCUGGAGAGGGGUCAAAGAUGGUGGAGACAGUGUGCAUGUGGGAGGAGACACUGAGGGCACAUGAGAAGGAAUGAGUUCAGUUUGCAAAUCCACAGUUGCUCUAAAGGAGAUAUGGGCAUACAUAUGCCAGCAUUCACCUGCAAGGAACACAUAGGGCAAACAGUCUGGGACACAGAGAUGGACUUUCUUCUCAGCUUCUCAGCUUUGAUUUGGUAUUGUCCAAUACUGAACUCUGACAAAUGGCAUUCCUCCCUCAAAAAUGCCUUUUUUCCUUUUCUCGUCUGCUGCAACUGAGGUGGGGGUAGGUAAAAUCAGACAAUGUACUUAACUCUCCUACCACUUUAGAAUUUUAAGUGUUCAAACAUUACUCCAGAUCCAAACCAUCCCAGAUCUCUGCUUUAAGAACAAAAUCGACAUGAGGAGCUACUGAAAAUCAAGACACAAGCAUUUCUUAUUUUGUUACCUGUCCAUUAGUUUUAUAACAAUAAAAUCAUUAGCCAACAGAUUCUGUACAAUAGUAAAACCUACACCUAUCAGAGGUUAUAAAUGCCAUCAUCUAAUACAACUAGUGCAAUCUCCUGAGGACAUGGAUAACUCAAAUGCUACAACCAGCAAGUCUCAUUACUGAAGUCCACAGUGCUACCAGAGAAUUUCUGGAAGGGGAAUGUGACUUAAAAGCAGAGCUACAUUGUUUUCAGUGCCAUCCAGAAUCCCCCUCAGCCCCAGUACAGGCCAGUGGUCCUCACCUUGACACAGGUGUCACGUAGUUGCCGGGGAAGACACCGGACAUGCCGCUCCUCAGAGACGUGCCCUUGAACCAGCCGUCCUGGCACUUCUCAAUGACCCGGUACAUCUCCCCUUUGCGCAGCUCCAGCUCGUCGUUCUUCUGAGGCUUGUAGGCAUACAGGGCUAGGUAGCUGUGGGGACAGGUCACACAGGGACAAAGCACACAGAUGACAUCAACCACCACCUGUCCUGCUCCAACUCCAGCCCCACAGAGCAGAAAGUGCUGUUCAGAAGUUGUAGUUAAAAAGGGACAUCAUUACAGGCUGCUUCACAAACAAGGAAGGGCAGACUGGAUUCUAAGACAAUAAGGGAAUAACUAAUCAGAGUUAAAAGUAAUUUAGAAGUUGAUGAGACAUGCUUCUCACUCAGGGCAUAACCAAAGUGCCACAAAGCAGCACUGAAGUGAAGGACAUAGCAAAGGUUUCAGAAAAACAUGGCAAUUACAGUGACAGCCAGAGUAACAAGGGCUCGAGUAAGAGGGCUUUGCAAAUCCUGACAUCUGAAAGAAGUAUACAUUCAUAUGCUUCAGGAUGGGAUCCACCUCUUUUGUGGAGUUUAAGAAGAAAAUUUUCUUGUGGGUAGGCUAUUUCAAAAGCUAUUUGUGCUGGCCAAGUUUAGAAACAACACACCAAAUUGUUCUGAUCUGGUAUGGUAAUUCUUGUACUAUGUUGGUAAAACAAAAAGUGAGAAAGGGCCACAUUCCGCAGGGGGGGUUUUACUUAAGUAAGUGAAGGGGUAGAAUUUGGUUUUGGAUGUUUUGCAUGCAAGUAUUUAAUAAAUCUUUAAUACAG